This 439-nucleotide ribosomal RNA is filed under the name uncultured Bifidobacterium sp. RNAcentral describes it as "bacterial SSU rRNA". It matches the Rfam family "Bacterial small subunit ribosomal RNA", at positions 189 to 640 of the family's 1533-position model. The record is from RNAcentral. Lineage: Bacteria; Bacillati; Actinomycetota; Actinomycetes; Bifidobacteriales; Bifidobacteriaceae.
CAUGGGGUGUCGGGAAAGAUUUCAUCGGUAUGGGAUGGGGUCGCGUCCUAUCAGGUAGUCGGCGGGGUAACGGCCCACCGAGCCUACGACGGGUAGCCGGCCUGAGAGGGCGACCGGCCACAUUGGGACUGAGAUACGGCCCAGACUCCUACGGGAGGCAGCAGUGGGGAAUAUUGCACAAUGGGCGCAAGCCUGAUGCAGCGACGCCGCGUGCGGGAUGACGGCCUUCGGGUUGUAAACCGCUUUUGAUCGGGAGCAAGCCUUCGGGUGAGUGUACCUUUCGAAUAAGCACCGGCUAACUACGUGCCAGCAGCCGCGGUAAUACGUAGGGUGCAAGCGUUAUCCGGAAUUAUUGGGCGUAAAGGGCUCGUAGGCGGUUCGUCGCGUCCGGUGUGAAAGUCCAUCGCUUAACGGUGGAUCUGCGCCGGGUACGGGCGGG